Molecule: ribosomal RNA, 439 nt
Filed under: uncultured bacterium
Lineage: Bacteria
Description: bacterial SSU rRNA
Rfam family: Bacterial small subunit ribosomal RNA
Source: RNAcentral
UACGGAAGGCAGCAGUGGGGAAUAUUGCACAAUGGGCGCAAGCCUGAUGCAGCCAUGCCGCGUGUAUGAAGAAGGCCUUCGGGUUGUAAAGUACUUUCAGUCGUGAGGAAGGUGUUAAGGUUAAUAACCUUAGCAAUUGACGUUAGCGACAGAAGAAGCGCCGGCUAACUCCGUGCCAGCAGCCGCGGUAAUACGGAGGGUGCGAGCGUUAAUCGGAAUUACUGGGCGUAAAGGGCACGCAGGCGGUUAAUUAAGUUGGAUGUGAAAUCCCCGGGCUUAACCUGGGAAUGGCAUUCAAGCUGGUUAGCUAGAGUCUUGUAGAGGGGGUAGAAUUCCAUGUGUAGCGGUGAAAUGCGUAGAGAUGUGGAGGAAUACCGGUGGCGAAGGCGGCCCCUGGGACAAAGACUGACGCUCAUGUGCGAAAGCGUGGGGAGCAAAC